This 79-nucleotide small RNA is filed under the name Flavobacterium sp. ov086. RNAcentral's name for it is "Flavo-1 RNA". The record is from RNAcentral. Lineage: Bacteria; Pseudomonadati; Bacteroidota; Flavobacteriia; Flavobacteriales; Flavobacteriaceae.
CCCUAGCCCAGAUAGAAGCGGUAUCCUUUUUUCUGGCUUCUUUAGCCAGGAAAAGAUACAAGUGGAUCCCGAAGCUUCG